Molecule: non-coding RNA, 29 nt
Filed under: Homo sapiens (human)
Lineage: Eukaryota; Metazoa; Chordata; Mammalia; Primates; Hominidae
Source: RNAcentral
ACACUUGGAAGUGCUGUGAUUUCAAUGAU